UAUUGGAUUUUAUUGUCACAAUGAUGUGAUUGUCACUCGAGACCGCAGGUCAAGUGUGACAAUACACAUCGUGUGCCUAAAAAAUCAUUUAUCUCAGAGUUGUAUACAACUUUUUUCGCAAUAAAGGCAACGGAAGCAUGGCU
Long non-coding RNA from Bradysia coprophila, 143 nucleotides. The record is from RefSeq and is a predicted model, not a curated record. Lineage: Eukaryota; Metazoa; Arthropoda; Insecta; Diptera; Sciaridae.